UACGGAAGGCAGCAGUGGGGAAUAUUGCACAAUGGGCGCAAGCCUGAUGCAGCCAUGCCGCGUGUAUGAAAAAGGCCUUCGGGUUGUAAAGUACUUUCAGUCGUGAGGAAGGUGUUAAGGUUAAUAACCUUAGCAAUUGACGUUAGCGACAGAAGAAGCACCGGCUAACUCCGUGCCAGCAGCCGCGGUAAUACGGAGGGUGCGAGCGUUAAUCGGAAUUACUGGGCGUAAAGGGCACGCAGGCGGUUAAUUAAGUUGGAUGUGAAAUCCCCGGGCUUAACCUGGGAAUGGCAUUUUAAGACUGGUUAGCUAGAGUCUUGUAGAGGGGGUAGAAUUCCAUGUGUAGCGGUGAAAUGCGUAGAGAUGUGGAGGAAUACCGGUGGCGAAGGCGGCCCCUGGACAAAGACUGACGCUCAUGUGCGAAAGCGUGGGGAGCAAACAGGGAUUAGAUACC
Molecule: ribosomal RNA, 454 nt
Filed under: uncultured bacterium
Lineage: Bacteria
Description: bacterial SSU rRNA
Rfam family: Bacterial small subunit ribosomal RNA
Source: RNAcentral